Molecule: ribosomal RNA, 361 nt
Filed under: uncultured bacterium
Lineage: Bacteria
Description: bacterial SSU rRNA
Rfam family: Bacterial small subunit ribosomal RNA
Source: RNAcentral
GGGCUCACACAAGCGGUGGAGGAUGUGGCUUAAUUCGAGGCUACGCGAAGAACCUUAUCCUAGAUUUGACAUGCUUGAGAAUCCCUAUGAAAAUAGAGAGUGCCCUUCGGGAGCUCUUGCACAGGUGCUGCAUGGCUGUCGUCAGCUCGUGUCGUGAGAUGUCGGGUUAAGUCCCUUAACGAGCGAAAUCCCUUAUCCUCUAGUUGCCAGGCGGGUAAUGCCGGGGACUCUAGAGAGACUGCCGGUGUCAAACGGAGGAAGGUGGGGAUGACGUCAAGUCCUCAUGGCCUUUAUGUCUAGGGCUGCACACGUCCUACAAUGGUACGGACAAAGCGGACGCAAUACCGCGAGGGGGAGCCAA